RNAcentral lists this ribosomal RNA (468 nucleotides) under uncultured bacterium. RNAcentral's name for it is "partial 16S ribosomal RNA". It matches the Rfam family "Bacterial small subunit ribosomal RNA", at positions 28 to 507 of the family's 1533-position model. The record is from RNAcentral.
GACGAACGCUGGCGGCGUGCUUAACACAUGCAAGUCGAACGGAAAGGCCCUGCUUUUGUGGGGUGCUCGAGUGGCGAACGGGUGAGUAACACGUGAGUAACCUGCCCUUGACUUUGGGAUAACUUCAGGAAACUGGGGCUAAUACCGGAUAGGAGCUCCUGCUGCAUGGUGGGGGUUGGAAAGUUUCGGCGGUUGGGGAUGGACUCGCGGCUUAUCAGCUUGUUGGUGGGGUAGUGGCUUACCAAGGCUUUGACGGGUAGCCGGCCUGAGAGGGUGACCGGCCAAAUUGGGACUGAGAUACGGCCCGGACUCCUACGGGAGGCAGCAGUGGGGAAAAUUGCACAAUGGGCGGAAGCCUGAUGCAGCAACGCCGCGUGCGGGAUGACGGCCUUCGGGUUGUAAACCGCUUUCGCCUGUGACGAAGCGUGAGUGACGGUAAUGGGUAAAGAAGCACCGGCUAACUACGUG